This 1058-nucleotide long non-coding RNA is filed under the name Heterocephalus glaber (naked mole-rat). Its description in RNAcentral is "lncRNA (ENSHGLG00000048317.1)". The record is from RNAcentral. Lineage: Eukaryota; Metazoa; Chordata; Mammalia; Rodentia; Bathyergidae.
CCACAACAGAGCAACUAAAAACAUAAAAAGGACUUCCAGAACUGCUUCAGAAAGUGGCAAGGACAAAGGAAUAAUUGUGUUCAAACAAUUUAGAUUUUUAUUUCCAUUGAAAUACUCCUCCAUCAUCUGAAACUCGAAGAAGUUCCAAAGGCAACUGGAAUGAUUGGGCGUCAGUGGGAUAAAGGCACCAAGAUUAGAAUAAGAAGCUCUAAAGAAGAACUCUAAAGCUAUUUCACCUGUUCCUGACUUGCUUACCUUCUCAGUGAUCUGGAAGACAUCGAGCUGCUGACACACGGAACAACCUGGGUAAAUCUUGAAUAUACACCAUUACGCUGAGUAAAAAAAGCCACACACAGAGGGAAACACUGUUGGAUUCCAUUUUUUAAAGGACAGUCUGAAAGGCAAAACUAUAGUGGCAAAAUUUAGACCAGUGGUUGCCAGAAUUGGGGAUGAAGGGGCUAACCUGGAUAAAACUGGGGUUAGUGGAACAUUUCUGGAUAAUGAAAAUGCUGUCCUGUUUAUCUUUAUUGUGAUUAUAUCUACAUGGUUGUUUGUAUACAUUCAUCAAAAUGUACAUGAAGAAUGGAGAAUGUUCUAUACAUAAAUUGUGCCUUGACACAUCCAAAAUACCUGACUUAAACAAUAAGCGUUAUCAUACCAAGAGUUAGACUGACAGGCCCAAUACGGUGGGGUUACUGUCUUGCCUCAUUGGAAUAAGACACUAUUAAUGCAGUUAAAACUAGUACUUGGCUUAGGGAAACCGUUUCACAAUUUUGUCUCAAAUCAAGCUUUUAAUCUGUUAAAAAAAAUCCUGUAUGUGUCUAGGUUUUUAAAGUAAACUAUAGUAAUACAUACUAAUAGUUUAAAGAUUGCAUUAUAUAUAUGUAAACCCAUUGUAUGAAUGUCACAAGAUCUUUUGGAAUCUGUGUUAUGCUAUGUAGAGUAUUAUAUAUUCCCUACAGCUUUGUGUGAUCCAUAAUUUAGUCAACAUGCUUUAUGGAAAGUAUUUUUCUGUGUGGAAAAAUCAUUCUAAAUCUGUUUUAUGCCCAGUUUUAUGG